AUGAUAGAUGGAGACAUCUCAGAUGUGGAUGAAGACGGUGGCGACAUAAAGAUCGAGUAUACAAGGGGUCUAACACUGAAUGAUGCACAGCAAGACAUUCUCGAUGAACUGGUGCUCAGCUUCAAAUCCAAGUUUUUAGGAGUGUCUUUUGUACACUGUCUUACUACAACUGAUACUCAAGUUGGACAAAUGAAAGUGCCAGAGAGUGUUGCUACAAGCUUGAACAUCCCUAAAGAAGGUUUGGCUGGUGUUCGUCUAAGCACUGGGGAGGCAAAGACUCACGUUGAAUAUAGCACGUCUACUGAUGGACGUAUAGUUUUCAACAAAAAGCAGUGA
RNAcentral lists this ribosomal RNA (336 nucleotides) under Triticum aestivum (bread wheat). RNAcentral's name for it is "partial small subunit ribosomal RNA". Lineage: Eukaryota; Viridiplantae; Streptophyta; Magnoliopsida; Poales; Poaceae. The record is from RNAcentral.